AUAAACUAACACCAAAAUGAAAUAAUAAUCUGGAAUCUUCUAAUUGGAAACGAAAUAGUUCUUCUCCCUCUUUUCUCUUCUUUUCUUUUGUCACCUGCGUCUCUCUCUCUCCGUUCUCUCGCCGUCUGUCUCUUUCUCUCUCGUCCGGCGAGCGUGGCCGAUCCUCGCCGCCUCCGGCGUGGCGAGGUCGGCACCCCUUCCUCCCCUCCUCUCCUUCCCCUCUUUUUUUUUAUUUCUUCCCUUCAAUCUAAAAUCCCCAAAUUCUAGGGAUUUCUGCCUCCAUUUUCCCUUUUGAAAUCCGUCCCUCCGGCAAGGCCCGUCGCCGUCUUCGUCGCACCGCCACCCCUGCCUCAGGAAUCGAUGAUUCAACUCCGGCGAGGCAGCCCGCCUCCUGAUCAAUGCUCAAGAUUCUAUUUUUUUCUACCUUUCUUAUUGUAAAUUUAUGUUCUUUCAUUGAUUGAUUAUUGAAAAACUGAAGCUGUAAUGGUUGGGGAAAUCGUACUUUGCUUAUAGAAAUUAGAGUUAGAGAUAUCUGUUUGUGCUUAACUGGUGUAGCUAUGUCUGUUUUCACUGCUUUUCUGUACAUAAAGAAUCUACUGUAUUGAAAGAAAGACUACCUUCUUUGA
This is a long non-coding RNA of Salvia miltiorrhiza (redroot sage), 626 nucleotides long. RefSeq lists it as uncharacterized. The transcript is spliced from 2 exons. The record is from RefSeq and is a predicted model, not a curated record. NCBI's taxonomy places the organism in Eukaryota, Viridiplantae, Streptophyta, Magnoliopsida, Lamiales, Lamiaceae.